GUCUACGACCAUAUCACGUUGAAAGCACCCGUUCUCGUCUGAUCACGGAAGUUAAGCGGCGUCGAGCAGGGUUAGUACUUAGAUGGGUGACCGCUUGGGAAUACCCUGUGCCGUAGUCU
Molecule: ribosomal RNA, 119 nt
Organism: Trichoplax adhaerens
Lineage: Eukaryota; Metazoa; Placozoa; Uniplacotomia; Trichoplacea; Trichoplacidae
Source: Rfam